AUGGCCAGGGGAAAACAAAUUAGAAUCAGAGUUAUUUUGGAAUGCAUCAUUUGUGUUCGAAAAGGUGUCAAUGAGGAAUCAUCGGGCACUUCAAGUUAUAGUACCCAAAAGAUCACCAAAUUAAACCCAAACGUUCAGAAUUAA
This 144-nucleotide ribosomal RNA is filed under the name Triticum aestivum (bread wheat). RNAcentral describes it as "partial small subunit ribosomal RNA". Lineage: Eukaryota; Viridiplantae; Streptophyta; Magnoliopsida; Poales; Poaceae. The record is from RNAcentral.